Molecule: ribosomal RNA, 465 nt
Filed under: Vreelandella stevensii
Lineage: Bacteria; Pseudomonadati; Pseudomonadota; Gammaproteobacteria; Oceanospirillales; Halomonadaceae
Description: partial 16S ribosomal RNA
Rfam family: Bacterial small subunit ribosomal RNA
Source: RNAcentral
CCUACAGGAGGCAGCAGUGGGGAAUAUUGGACAAUGGGGGCAACCCUGAUCCAGCCAUGCCGCGUGUGUGAAGAAGGCCCUCGGGUUGUAAAGCACUUUCAGUGAGGAAGAACGCCUGGUGGUUAAUACCCAUCAGGAAAGACAUCACUCACAGAAGAAGCACCGGCUAACUCCGUGCCAGCAGCCGCGGUAAUACGGAGGGUGCGAGCGUUAAUCGGAAUUACUGGGCGUAAAGCGCGCGUAGGUGGCUUGAUAAGCCGGUUGUGAAAGCCCCGGGCUCAACCUGGGAACGGCAUCCGGAACUGUUAAGCUAGAGUGCAGGAGAGGAAGGUAGAAUUCCCGGUGUAGCGGUGAAAUGCGUAGAGAUCGGGAAGAAUACCAGUGGCGAAGGCGGCCUUCUGGACUGACACUGACACUGAGGUGCGAAAGCGUGGGUAGCAAACAGGAUUAGAUACCCUGGUAGUC